GGUAAUGAGCUUGUAUUAUGACUGAAUAGCAUCACUUUAUCACUUUAACGCAGAUGGAGGCCUAAAUAACCAUAGGGCAAUGGUUCUUCUUAGAUGCAGAAGGACACAUUUAUAUAAUCUUAGGGACCCCAUCUCUGAGGUCACUCAUAAUUUAUAUUAAUUCAUUGUUAUUGCCAUUGCCCCAAGAAUAGAUAAGGCUAAGACAUCCCGUAGUACAGGUAGCAGAGAUAUAAACUAUUCUUAUUCUUGUGUCUUGUCUAUAGGAAGGGAGUGUAUCCUGGUGUAUGACAGCAUAUAGUAGAGACCACUGUCAAUUAGGGCCUGUGAACUGAGACAGGGUGACUGGCUAAGUCCACAACCCAUUAGAAACCCAGAAAUAAUCAAAUCAUGAGGGAUCAUGGAAAGGAAGCUGAAUUUGCCGAGUUUUGCCACGUGGGCAUUGCAUGCCUAUGUGAUUAACCACCAAUAAAAACCUGGGACAUCAAAUAAUAAAUAAGCUGCUCUAAUUGCCAAGAAUUCACAUGUGGUUGUAUGCAGCAUUACUGGGAGAUUGAAGUGUAUCUGCAUGUGAUUCUACUGUGAUGGACACUUGUAAGUUUGUGCCUGGAGUCUCCUGGACUUUGCCCUGAGAAUCUUUUUCCUUUGUUGAUAUGACUCUGCAUCCUUUUGUUUUAAUAAACUGUAAACAUGAGUAUAA
This is a long non-coding RNA of Homo sapiens (human), 697 nucleotides long. The record is from Ensembl. Lineage: Eukaryota; Metazoa; Chordata; Mammalia; Primates; Hominidae.